Molecule: long non-coding RNA, 810 nt
Filed under: Dasypus novemcinctus (nine-banded armadillo)
Lineage: Eukaryota; Metazoa; Chordata; Mammalia; Cingulata; Dasypodidae
Description: lncRNA (ENSDNOG00000050511.1)
Source: RNAcentral
ACUCUACUCUCAGGGAUCUAGAAGCCAUUCUCGCCCUCUGGAAUCCCUGCUCCAUCAACUGUCCUUUCUCUCUCUCUUGCACUUUCUCUUUAGUGCUUACUUUCUCUUUUGCCUAUAAACACACUGAGCUUGUCUUAGCCUUUGAAAACAACUAAAUAAGAAGCUUACAAAAGGUGGGAAAGCCAAUUCCCAACACUCUACUGAAAGUGUCCUCUCAAGAUGCACCAAUGACACAGUCAUCAAACCCAAUGGCCUGAGCAUGCUCAUCCUUCACCCCUCUUGACCAUCCUGCAGCAUCUGGAAUAGAAGCCACCUGACUACUCUGCCGGGGCCCAGGGCCCUGAGUCAUCGGGAUGGGCUCCUGGCUCUCUCACCAGCUCCUGUUCUCCUCUCCGCAGAAAGCUCCCCUCAGCAGUGACCCCUGCCCACAUACCAUAAGGACAGAGGGCCCACGUGCUGGGGUAUGCACAGGAAACGGACCACCGCUCUCCUACACUUGCCAAUGUUUCUGCUCCCACCCAGGUCACAGAGCUCUUGGAUGUCAUCUGUACUUGCUCCACCGCCUCUUCCCUGAUCCACAUGCACCAUGUCAAAGAAGAGUGACAGGACAACCCUCCGGCCCCCCCAGUGAAGAGACACACACCAGCAGCACUGACAAGCCCCCCCAGUGAAGAGACACACACCAGCAGCACUGACAAGCCCCCCCAGUGAAGAGACACACACCAGCAGCACUGACAAGCCCCCCCAGUGAAGAGACACACACCAGCAGCACUGACAAGCCACACCCCGCCCCCAUCAGAUGGUACCUCC